UUUUAUGGAGAGUUUGAUCCUGGCUCAGGAUGAACGCUGGCGGCGUGCCUAAUACAUGCAAGUCGAGCGAACGGACGAGAAGCUUGCUUCUCUGAUGUUAGCGGCGGACGGGUGAGUAACACGUGGAUAACCUACCUAUAAGACUGGGAUAACUUCGGGAAACCGGAGCUAAUACCGGAUAAUAUUUUGAACCGCAUGGUUCAAAAGUAAAAGACGGUCUUGCUGUCACUUAUAGAUGGAUCCGCGCUGCAUUAGCUAGUUGGUAAGGUAACGGCUUACCAAGGCAACGAUGCAUAGCCGACCUGAGAGGGUGAUCGGCCACACUGGAACUGAGACACGGUCCAGACUCCUACGGGAGGCAGCAGUAGGGAAUCUUCCGCAAUGGGCGAAAGCCUGACGGAGCAACGCCGCGUGAGUGAUGAAGGUCUUCGGAUCGUAAAACUCUGUUAUUAGGGAAGAACAUAUGUGUAAGUAACUGUGCACAUCUUGACGGUACCUAAUCAGAAAGCCACGGCUAACUACGUGCCAGCAGCCGCGGUAAUACGUAGGUGGCAAGCGUUAUCCGGAAUUAUUGGGCGUAAAGCGCGCGUAGGC
This 594-nucleotide ribosomal RNA is filed under the name Staphylococcus aureus. RNAcentral describes it as "bacterial SSU rRNA". It matches the Rfam family "Bacterial small subunit ribosomal RNA", at positions 1 to 576 of the family's 1533-position model. The record is from RNAcentral. Lineage: Bacteria; Bacillati; Bacillota; Bacilli; Caryophanales; Staphylococcaceae.